CGCGGCCUAUCAGCUUGUUGGUGGGGUAAUGGCCUACCAAGGCGACGACGGGUAGCCGGCCUGAGAGGGUGACCGGCCACACUGGGACUGAGACACGGCCCAGACUCCUACGGGAGGCAGCAGUGGGGAAUAUUGCACAAUGGGCGAAAGCCUGAUGCAGCGGCGCCGCGUGAGGGAUGACGGCCUUCGGGUUGUAAACCUCUUUCGCCAGGGACGAAGCGCAAGUGACGGUACCUGGAUAAGAAGCACCGGCUAACUACGUGCCAGCAGCCGCGGUAAUACGUAGGGUGCGAGCGUUGUCCGGAUUUAUUGGGCGUAAAGAGCUCGUAGGCGGUUUGUCGCGUCGGCCGUGAAAUCUCCACGCUUAACGUGGAGCGUGCGGUCGAUACGGGCAGACUUGAGUUCGGUAGGGGAGACUGGAAUUCCUGGUGUAGCGGUGAAAUGCGCAGAUAUCAGGAGGAACACCGGUGGCGAAGGCGGGUCUCUGGGCCGAUACUGACGCUGAGGAGCGAAAGCGUGGGGAGCGAACAGGAUUAGAUACCCUGGUAGCCCACGCUGUAAACGUUGGGCGCUAGGUGUGGGCGACAUCCACGUUGUCCGUGCCGUAGCUAACGCAUUAAGCGCCCCGCCUGGGGAGUACGG
Molecule: ribosomal RNA, 642 nt
Filed under: uncultured bacterium
Lineage: Bacteria
Description: bacterial SSU rRNA
Rfam family: Bacterial small subunit ribosomal RNA
Source: RNAcentral